GGCCACUAUCCUACCAUCGAAAGUUGAUAGGGCAGAAAUUUGAAUGAACCAUCGCCGGCGCAAGGCCAUGCGAUUCGUUAAGUUAUUAUGAUUCACCAAGGAGCCCCGAAGGGCGUUGGUUUUUUAUCUAAUAAAUACACCCCUUCCUGAAUCCAGGGUUUUUACAAGGUAUUACCUUUAAAAUUACCACGGGAUUCCUGGUAUAAGGGACCUUUCAAUUAACCAAUACCGGUUUUAUGGACCCUUUCCAAUUUCCCCAUAUAAAAUGGUUAUACUUUAAACUUGAUGGGUUAAUCUU
RNAcentral lists this ribosomal RNA (298 nucleotides) under uncultured fungus. RNAcentral's name for it is "partial 18S ribosomal RNA". Lineage: Eukaryota; Fungi. The record is from RNAcentral.